Long non-coding RNA from Myotis brandtii (Brandt's bat), 466 nucleotides. RefSeq lists it as uncharacterized. The record is from RefSeq and is a predicted model, not a curated record. The transcript is spliced from 2 exons. NCBI's taxonomy places the organism in Eukaryota, Metazoa, Chordata, Mammalia, Chiroptera, Vespertilionidae.
GGGGGUGUCUUAGGCUUGUGGUCUAACAAGGCUGUACUGUUAUCAGCCAGGAGUGACUAAAGGGCUGGAGAUAUGGACUCAGACCAUCCAGGUGGGACUCAGAUCCUGAAGUUCUGAAGUUAGUCGCCAGCAGUUCUCCAGAGAAGCGGGACCUCCAGGAGCCAUGGGCAACAAGUUCACAGCAGCUUGGGGCGGAGGCACACCAUCCAACGAAGUCACUAAAGAAAAGAAGUGCCUUUUCAAAACGUAUUCCAACUUGGAGACCUUUGCAAAAGCACCUGGGCCGUGAUAGGAAGAACACUGGGUCAAGGGGCCCUCCGUUCAUGUUCCGCAGUGAACCAGUGGGAUGACUUGGGGAGUGUGUUUAACCUGCUUGUACCUUGGCCCCUCAUGUGUGAAAUGGGGACCUGACUACCCCAUGAGGUUGUUCUGAGGAUUAAAGGAAUUGAAAUGCGUGAAGUACAAA